UUUACACUCUUAAAUGCUUAAUGACGCUACGUAGCAUCGAACGCCUGGCAUUUACACUCUUAAAUGCUAAACAACGCUAACGUAGCAUCGUUAGCUACCCGGUUUUAUACACGCUAGAGAAAUGUACGUAGACGGUGAUUGAUUGAUUGUCUGUCCGCGCCAGAGCUGGCGUCCGGCGAGGACCCCGACGUCCCUCUGGUAGCCCAGGAACUGAUGAGGAGGAUGGUCCGGCAGUUUGCUGCGGAGUACGCCUCCAAGACGCGCCUCACCACCUCGACCGACACGGGCUCCCGGCGUCCGGACCUCGACACGCCUCUAGACCUCACUGUGACGCGGAACCAGGAGGAGGAACCCACACCAGCUGACACUGUGCUCGACCUCUCCAAGCGGAACUCUGCCAGCUCGGCCUCCACAUCACCCACCAAUCACAAAGCCUCAGGGUGAGUGUCUCUCCUCUCAUUGGUCCAUACUCCACAUCACCCACCAAUCACAAAGCCUCAGGGUGAGUGUCUCUCCUCUCAUUGGUCCAUACUUCACAUCACCCACCAAUCACAAAGCCUCAGGGUGAGGUGUCUCUCCUCUCAUUGGUCCAUACUCCACAUCGCCCACCUAUCACAAAGCCUCAGGGUGAGGUGUCUCUCCUCUCAUUGGUCCAAACUAGCACGCUACUUAGUAUGCAUAGCCAAUAGAGUAGUGGGGACAGUGUUAGGUGGUCUGUAUCAGUAGUCUGUCUAGGGGUGGGUGUAGUGGGGACAGUGUUAGGUGGUCUGUAUCAGUAGUCUGUCUAGG
RNAcentral lists this long non-coding RNA (789 nucleotides) under Salmo salar (Atlantic salmon). RNAcentral describes it as "lncRNA (ENSSSAG00000093573.1)". Lineage: Eukaryota; Metazoa; Chordata; Actinopteri; Salmoniformes; Salmonidae. The record is from RNAcentral.